This 70-nucleotide transfer RNA is filed under the name Sirembo imberbis (golden cusk). RNAcentral's name for it is "tRNA-Ile". It matches the Rfam family "tRNA". From Rfam's summary of the family: Transfer RNA (tRNA) molecules are approximately 80 nucleotides in length. Their secondary structure includes four short double-helical elements and three loops (D, anti-codon, and T loops). Further hydrogen bonds mediate the characteristic L-shaped molecular structure. tRNAs have two regions of fundamental functional importance: the anti-codon, which is responsible for specific mRNA codon recognition, and the 3' end, to which the tRNAs corresponding amino acid is attached (by aminoacyl-tRNA synthetases). tRNAs cope with the degeneracy of the genetic code in two manners: having more than one tRNA (with a specific anti-codon) for a particular amino acid; and 'wobble' base-pairing, i.e. permitting non-standard base-pairing at the 3rd anti-codon position. The record is from RNAcentral. Lineage: Eukaryota; Metazoa; Chordata; Actinopteri; Ophidiiformes; Ophidiidae.
GGAGCUGUGCCCGAAUUUAAGGACCACUUUGAUAGAGUGGAAUAUGGGGGUUAAAACCCCCCCACCUCCU